RNAcentral lists this ribosomal RNA (495 nucleotides) under uncultured bacterium. RNAcentral describes it as "partial 16S ribosomal RNA". It matches the Rfam family "Bacterial small subunit ribosomal RNA", at positions 28 to 507 of the family's 1533-position model. The record is from RNAcentral.
GACGAACGCUGGCGGCGUGCCUAAUACAUGCAAGUAGAACGCUGAAGGAGGAGCUUGCUCUUCUGGAUGAGUUGCGAACGGGUGAGUAACGCGUAGGUAACCUGCCUGGUAGCGGGGGAUAACUAUUGGAAACGAUAGCUAAUACCGCAUAACAGUAGAUGUUGCAUGACAUUUACUUAAAAGUUGCAAUUGCAUCACUACCAUAUGGACCUGCGUUGUAUUAGCUAGUUGGUGGGGUAACGGCUCACCAAGGCGACGAUACAUAGCCGACCUGAGAGGGUGAUCGGCCACACUGGGACUGGGACACGGCCCAGACUCCUACGGGAGGCAGCAGUAGGGAAUCUUCGGCAAUGGACGGAAGGCUGACCGAGCAACGCCGCGGGAGUGAAGAAGGUUUUCGGAUCGUAAAGCUCUGUUGUAAGAGAAGAAAGAGUGUGAGAGUGGAAAGUUCACACUGUGACGGUAUCUUACCAGAAAGGGACGGCUAACUACGUG